GACAGAGGUGGCGAGCGUUGUUCGGAUUUAUUGGGCGUAAGGCGCGCGUAGGUGGUUCAGCAAGUUGGAUGUGAAAGCCCUGGGCUCAACCUGGGAACUGCAUCCAAAACUACUGAGCUAGAGUACGGUAGAGGGUAGUGGAAUUUCCUGUGUAGCGGUGAAAUGCGUAGAUAUAGGAAGGAACACCAGUGGCGAAGGCGACUACCUGGACUGAUACUGACACUGAGGUGCGAAAGCGUGGGGAGCAAACA
RNAcentral lists this ribosomal RNA (251 nucleotides) under uncultured bacterium. RNAcentral's name for it is "partial 16S ribosomal RNA". It matches the Rfam family "Bacterial small subunit ribosomal RNA", at positions 524 to 774 of the family's 1533-position model. The record is from RNAcentral.